CGGAAUUACUGGGCGUAAAGCGCGCGUAGGUGGCUUGAUAAGCCGGUUGUGAAAGCCCCGGGCUCAACCUGGGAACGGCAUCCGGAACUGUCAAGCUAGAGUGCAGGAGAGGAAGGUAGAAUUCCCGGUGUAGCGGUGAAAUGCGUAGAGAUCGGGAGGAAUACCAGUGGCGAAGGCGGCCUUCUGGACUGACACUGACACUGAGGUGCGAAAGCGUGGGUAGCAAACAGGAUUAGAUACCCUGGUAGUCCACGCCGUAAACGAUGUCGACCAGCCGUUGGGUGCCUAGCGCACUUUGUGGCGAAGUUAACGC
RNAcentral lists this ribosomal RNA (313 nucleotides) under uncultured bacterium. RNAcentral's name for it is "bacterial SSU rRNA". It matches the Rfam family "Bacterial small subunit ribosomal RNA", at positions 546 to 858 of the family's 1533-position model. The record is from RNAcentral.